UGGGGAAUAUUGCACAAUGGGCGCAAGCCUGAUGCAGCCAUGCCGCGUGUAUGAAGAAGGCCUUCGGGUUGUAAAGUACUUUCAGCGGGGAGGAAGGUGUUGAGGUUAAUAACCUCAGCAAUUGACGUUACCCGCAGAAGAAGCACCGGCUAACUCCGUGCCAGCAGCCGCGGUAAUACGGAGGGUGCAAGCGUUAAUCGGAAUUACUGGGCGUAAAGCGCACGCAGGCGGUCUGUCAAGUCGGAUGUGAAAUCCCCGGGCUCAACCUGGGAACUGCAUUCGAAACUGGCAGGCUAGAGUCUUGUAGAGGGGGGUAGAAUUCCAGGUGUAGCGGUGAAAUGCGUAGAGAUCUGGAGGAAUACCGGUGGAGAAGGCGGCCCCCUGGACAAAGACUGACGCUCAGGUGCGAAAGCGUGGGGAGCAAACA
RNAcentral lists this ribosomal RNA (427 nucleotides) under uncultured bacterium. RNAcentral's name for it is "partial 16S ribosomal RNA". It matches the Rfam family "Bacterial small subunit ribosomal RNA", at positions 355 to 774 of the family's 1533-position model. The record is from RNAcentral.